GUGUCAAUUUCUUCUUCAUGAAGGUGUAGAUAGAAAGUAAGAAAAUAAGCAGACACUUAUUAAUUUUCUCUCUUGCGGCACCGUGUCUUGCACUUGUGACAUAUUUUGGAAUUGGAAAAGUAAUGUGAGUGAGUAAUGAAAAAAUGUUCCUGCUGAUGCACAAAAGCGUAACCAUAUACUGUUAUAUCUAAACAUUUAUGAUACUUGCUCUACAGAAUGACAUAAUUUAGAGCAAAUACUUAAAUAAAAUGUAUAUCCAAACUGUCGAGACGCAAUCUCUGCAAUAUACAAUUGUUGUAAAUAUAUGUAUGCAAAGCAUAUAAUGGUGCAAGUUGGAAAAAAAUGCUUUACGAUUUAGAACAGAUGCAUUAGAAGCAAUUGUACUAAUUAUUUAACGAGACAUUCAGAACUGCCGCGCAAGACUGCACGCGCCAAUCAGGCGCGAGAACGGACGCGGACGCGCGAAGACUCCCAAUCAGGAGCGAGGACUGCCGUGCGUGCGCGAAGACGUCCAAUCAGGCGCGAGAACUGCCGCGCGCGCCGCCAAGACUCCCAAUCAGGCGCGAGGCCUGCCGCGGACGCGCGAAGACGUCCAAUCAGGCGCGAGAACUGCCGCUCAUGCGUGAAAGCUCCC
This 634-nucleotide long non-coding RNA is filed under the name Camponotus floridanus (Florida carpenter ant). Its description in RNAcentral is "uncharacterized LOC112639739, transcript variant X3". The record is from RNAcentral. Lineage: Eukaryota; Metazoa; Arthropoda; Insecta; Hymenoptera; Formicidae.